RNAcentral lists this ribosomal RNA (229 nucleotides) under uncultured bacterium. RNAcentral describes it as "partial 16S ribosomal RNA". It matches the Rfam family "Bacterial small subunit ribosomal RNA", at positions 568 to 796 of the family's 1533-position model. The record is from RNAcentral.
UCCGUAGUCGGGUAAUUAAGUCAGAGGUGAAAUCCCACAGCUUAACUGUGGAACUGCCUUAGAUACUGGUUAUCUUGAGUUUUAGUGAAGUAGAUAGAAUGUGUAGUGUAGCGGUGAAAUGCAUAGAUAUUACACAGAAUACCGAUUGCGAAGGCAGUCUACUAACUAACAACUGACGCUAAUGGACGAAAGCGUGGGGAGCGAACAGGAUUAGAUACCCUGGUAGUCC